This is a small nuclear RNA of Suncus etruscus (white-toothed pygmy shrew), 111 nucleotides long. The record is from RefSeq and is a predicted model, not a curated record. NCBI's taxonomy places the organism in Eukaryota, Metazoa, Chordata, Mammalia, Eulipotyphla, Soricidae.
GUGCUCGCUUCAGCAGCACAUGUUCUAAAAUUGGAACGAACGAUACAGAGAAGAUUAGCAUGGCCCCUGCACAAGAAUGACACACAAAUUCGUGAAGCAUUCUGUAUUAAA